Oreochromis niloticus (Nile tilapia) is the source of this 835-nucleotide long non-coding RNA. RefSeq lists it as uncharacterized. Lineage: Eukaryota; Metazoa; Chordata; Actinopteri; Cichliformes; Cichlidae. The record is from RefSeq and is a predicted model, not a curated record. The transcript is spliced from 2 exons.
UGUUUGGAAAGAGUUCCAGCUUCAUCACGGAGUUUCUCUCGGUUUGUGGGCUCAUCUAAAGUUUAUUGUCAACACGUUGAGAGAAGAGUGAGAGAGUGUUUGGAGAAAAACACCAACUAAUCAUUAGCUCAACAUGCUACUGGUGUCAACCCAGCCUCCACCAUGUUUUGUGUUUCCUUUGUAUUCUAAGUAUUACGGUAAGAUACGCGGACACCUGAUUUCAAAAUAGAGACCAACUUCGACUGAAUUAACAGAUAUGUCAAGAACAUAAAAAAUAUAAUUUAGUCUUUAGUCAGCUGCUGUGGAUGAACACAUGAGAGGAAGUGAACUCCUACAAAGUCUCAUUUUAAUGAGUCUGUCUGCUGUAAAGUGAUGCACAGGAAGAUGUUAACAAAAACUAAUGAAACAGAUGAAAGUAAACAGUGUUCAUAUUUGAAAGCACAGUGAAUAAAAAUAUAUUGUGCUGGUUAAUGUGCAGCUCUUGGUGAUUUUGGAGAAAAAUGUUUUUAAUCAUGUUGUGGAUUGAAUGGUGGGUUUUAUUUUAUUUUAUCUACAGUUUUCCCACUUGUGAUCGUUCAGACCAUCUGGCCUUGAAACCAAUUUGCAUGUAUGGAGAAUGUGAUAGAAAAAGGAACUUCUUUGUCUGUUUUUAGCUUUUUAAUUGACCAUUUACUGUAACUGAUGCAUGUCAUAUUCUUGUUAACGCAUGAAGGGGCAGAACCCUGAUGAAUUAAAAGCAGUCUGAAGUGUAUUUUUGGGUGAAGAUCGACGCUUAUGUGUUGCAGCAGACAUCUUCCCGCGCGUGUGUUUAAUAAAAAUCAUUGUUUGACUGCAC